AGUGAACGCUGGCGGUAGGCCUAACACAUGCAAGUCGAACGGCAGCACAGUAAGAGCUUGCUCUUACGGGUGGCGAGUGGCGGACGGGUGAGGAAUACAUCGGAAUCUACUUUUUCGUGGGGGAUAACGUAGGGAAACUUACGCUAAUACCGCAUACGACCUACGGGUGAAAGCAGGGGAUCUUCGGACCUUGCGCGAUUGAAUGAGCCGAUGUCGGAUUAGCUAGUUGGCGGGGUAAAGGCCCACCAAGGCGACGAUCCGUAGCUGGUCUGAGAGGAUGAUCCGCCACCAUGGAACUGAGACACGGUCCAGACCCCUACGGGAGGCAGCAGCGGGGAAUAUUGGACAAUGGGCGCAAGCCUGAUCCAGCCAUACCGCGUGGGUGAAGAAGGCCUUCGGGUUGUAAAGCCCUUUUGUUGGGAAAGAAAAGCAGCAGGUUAAUACCCCGCUGUUCUGACGGUACCCAAAGAAUAAGCACCGGCUAACUUCGUG
Molecule: ribosomal RNA, 492 nt
Filed under: uncultured bacterium
Lineage: Bacteria
Description: partial 16S ribosomal RNA
Rfam family: Bacterial small subunit ribosomal RNA
Source: RNAcentral